RNAcentral lists this ribosomal RNA (300 nucleotides) under uncultured bacterium. Its description in RNAcentral is "bacterial SSU rRNA". It matches the Rfam family "Bacterial small subunit ribosomal RNA", at positions 399 to 691 of the family's 1533-position model. The record is from RNAcentral.
GCGUGUGUGAAGAAGGCCUGCGGGUUGUAAAGCACUUUCAGUAGGGAGGAAAAGCUUAAGGUUAAUACCCUUGAGUCUUGACGUUACCUACAGAAGAAGCACCGGCUAACUCCGUGCCAGCAGCCGCGGUAAUACGGAGGGUGCAAGCGUUAAUCGGAAUUACUGGGCGUAAAGCGCACGUAGGCGGCCAGAUAAGUCGGAUGUGAAAGCCCCGGGCUCAACCUGGGAAUUGCAUUCGAUACUGUCUGGCUAGAGUCUGGUAGAGGGUAGUGGAAUUCCCGGUGUAGCGGUGAAAUGCGU